CCUACGGGAGGCUGCAGUGGGGAAUAUUGCACAAUGGGGGGAACCCUGAUGCAGCGACGCCGCGUGGGUGAAGGAGUAUUUCGGUAUGUAAAGCCCUAUCGGCAGGGAAGAAGCAAGACGGUACCUGACUAAGAAGCCCCGGCUAACUACGUGCCAGCAGCCGCGGUAAUACGUAGGGGGCGAGCGUUAUCCGGAUUCACUGGGUGUAAAGGGAGCGUAGACGGUGAUGUAAGUCUGGAGUGAAAGGCGGGGGCCCAACCCCCGGACUGCUCUGGAAACUAUGUGACUGGAGUGCAGGAGAGGUGAGCGGAAUUCCUAGUGUAGCGGUGAAAUGCGUAGAUAUUAGGAGGAACACCAGUGGCGAAGGCGGCUCACUGGACUGUAACUGACGUUGAGGCUCGAAAGCGUGGGGAGCAAACAGGAUUAGAUACCCUUGUAGUC
This 441-nucleotide ribosomal RNA is filed under the name uncultured bacterium. RNAcentral describes it as "partial 16S ribosomal RNA". It matches the Rfam family "Bacterial small subunit ribosomal RNA", at positions 338 to 795 of the family's 1533-position model. The record is from RNAcentral.